This 1219-nucleotide long non-coding RNA is filed under the name Zonotrichia albicollis (white-throated sparrow). RNAcentral describes it as "lncRNA (ENSZALG00000008909.1)". The record is from RNAcentral. Lineage: Eukaryota; Metazoa; Chordata; Aves; Passeriformes; Passerellidae.
UAUCAAUAGGGUUUGCUUGACACUUUCAGUAAGAUUCUUCAUUAAUUUCUACAUACUUGCGAUAGAUGAGUAAUGCGAUGAUUGACUCUCACAAUUAAUAGACAAAUAUCAUGUAUAUAGGUUAAGAAAAGUUUUAUAGAUUUAUAGGUAUGUUUUACCCCCUCGCAUGAUUAUCAAGGCACAGCUGGAGUUGGGACUUCUGGGAGGGCCGGCUUGCCACUAUGGCAACUUCUGACCUCCAAUCAGGAUAUGAGGAAGAGGUCUCCACCACUGGACAGCAGAGAAGGGGUUGAUGGACAGGAUUUGGGAGGGGUUAAAAGGUUAAAAGGGGAUAACCUCCAUUGUGAGGGGGCUUAGCACAUGGUGGGGAAAAUCUUUUGCUCCUGGCGUUGUAACUUUUUUUCUUUAUUCUGUAUUUCUUUUUUUUUUCUGUUGUAUAUUCGAUAAGUUUUAAUAACCUUCCUAAACUGUGAAAAGUGAGUAGCGAUUUCUCACAAUGCUAUGUAUUUAAGUAUAUAUUUAUGUAUAUAACGUAGCAUUUAAAUACAGAAAUAAUUCCAGUGCUACACUGGAGAAGAUAGAAUCCACCAAAUAUUUACCUGGGAGAGAUAGGAAGCUAUACAGAUGGAUAGUUGGAAAUGACAUUAAAGAAAGGACAAGGUUGCAAAUUGCUUGAUCAAUACAGUACAGCAAUGGAGAGAAGAACUGAAAAAGUCUAUAUCCUAUAGGGAUAAGGAUAAAUAUGGGUCAAUGAUGAGAAUUCAAUUGCCAUAAUAAAAGAGGUGCAAAUGAGAAAGCAUAACUUUCAUGCACGGGCAAUAAUUGACUUUAUAUCCAAUGGCUAGUGCUUGAAAUAAAAAACAAAGCUAUAAAACCAGAAAAAUAUCAUGAUAAUAAUAAUGAACAGUUGAGCCCUACUGUGUGCAACUGCUGUGUGUGCCCAUUUUGCAUCUGCAAAUUCCUGCCUGUGCCCAAACCCAUCUCUGCAGCUGAUCCACACAGCUUUUAUAACCUGUUUCUGACAGCACUAAUAUUUAGUAGACAUCUGCACUCAACUAUUGCUUCUUUUCAGAUGUCUCCAAGGGCUAUGGAACUCACCUGGACCAAAUGUUCUCUGUUUGCAGACAGGGAAACUGAGACAUACAGAGAGCAUAAUUUCCAUAUGGUCCCCUGGAAACUCAGGAAAAAUCACUUCAUGAGCCUCCUUAAGAAAUCCUAG